UAGGGAAUCUUCGGCAAUGGACGAAAGUCUGACCGAGCAACGCCGCGUGAGUGAAGAAGGUUUUCGGAUCGUAAAACUCUGUUGUUAGAGAAGAACAAGGACGUUAGUAACUGAACGUCCCCUGACGGUAUCUAACCAGAAAGCCACGGCUAACUACGUGCCAGCAGCCGCGGUAAUACGUAGGUGGCAAGCGUUGUCCGGAUUUAUUGGGCGUAAAGCGAGCGCAGGCGGUUUCUUAAGUCUGAUGUGAAAGCCCCCGGCUCAACCGGGGAGGGUCAUUAGAAACUGGGAGACUUGAGUGCAGAAGAGGGGAGUGGAAUUCCAUGUGUAGCGGUGAAAUGCGUAGAUAUAUGGAGGAUCACCAGUGGCGAAGGCGGCUCUCUGGUCUAUAACUAACGCUGAGGCUCGAAAGCGUGGGGAGCAAACAGG
This 429-nucleotide ribosomal RNA is filed under the name Gemmatimonadota bacterium. Its description in RNAcentral is "Gemmatimonadetes bacterium partial 16S ribosomal RNA". It matches the Rfam family "Bacterial small subunit ribosomal RNA", at positions 355 to 776 of the family's 1533-position model. The record is from RNAcentral. Lineage: Bacteria; Pseudomonadati; Gemmatimonadota.